This 77-nucleotide transfer RNA is filed under the name Plantactinospora endophytica. Its description in RNAcentral is "tRNA-Ala". Lineage: Bacteria; Bacillati; Actinomycetota; Actinomycetes; Micromonosporales; Micromonosporaceae. The record is from RNAcentral.
CCGGCCACCGGGUCGGGACCGGCCGCUCGCCCCGGUCCGGCGACGUCCGCCGCCGGGUCGGUCCCCGGCCGGCCGGA